CUGUGUGCCUGGCAGCGUGCAGCAAACAGCAGCCUGGUAGUUGUGGGUGUAUCAAGCGUGGAAGGAACCCGGGCGCUGGUUUUCGUCAGCCAGCCCAGCGGUGCACAGGAAGGAACUGGUCUGUUCCCUGGUCUGUUCAAAGAAACUUACCUCCAACAGAGAAUUGAUCAAAAUACUGCUACUUAACAAGUGGUGAAAGCCUGACACAUAACUUAGCAGUUCAUUUUCUGCCAAGCUUUACUGGACCAAUUGAGGUGGUUUUAUCAAUCUGGGGCUGGCAUAUAUUAACCCUCUCCUUGUCUUAUAAAUAUUCCUUACAGAUUUCUGCUUUUACUCAACCACUCUUUUUGAUCAGUGUAUUGAUCAAGCAGAAGCUUCCCUACAGCUUGGGAAUGGUGGGAUGACCAUGGGAUUUGUGGUCUUGGAUUUGUGGGUUGCAAUGUGUGAGAAUUGAGCUUGAACCAAGAAAAUACAUUAGAAGGACUGCGAGAUAGCCAGCAGCUGGGUAACAUUUGAUGACGAUUAUUCUGUAACUACUAUUCCUACGUAGGUGUGUUACUUUACUCAAACAUACAGUAAAUUAGUGAUUUACUCUAAACGCCUUCUUUCUGGACCUGUUUGUGUACCUGUUGAAGAGGUUAGGUGAGUGGGUGACUUAGGUUGGACUCAAAGUAAUGUGUUCCUGGCUUCUUUCCACUAAUCCAGAUAAUCCAACCUGACUAGAACCUACAGUGAGUGAGUUGUGGCUGGGGGUGUUCUGAUGGAGAGACUUUCAGAUUUAUAGUUGAGAAACAGACAAACAGUCUCACAGGAGGACAUCAGGAAAGAUGGAGAGGAGUUCAGGUCUUGUGUAGCUGAGGGGUGUGUGCGUGUCUGUGUGUGUGCUGUACAAGACUGUGUGUGUGUGUGUGUGUGUGUGUGUGUGUGUGUGUGUGUGUGUGCGCGCACGCAUGUAUAGCUCUGAGGGCUGUGUGUGUGUGUGUUUCUCAUUCUGCUUCAGGUCCCAUCCCUGUCAGUGUAAUGCUGGCUCUAUCCUGUCUGCUGUCAGCUCACAGCUCCAGUUUUACACCCCAGCUACAGCCCCGGAACAAACCCACUGUGUGUGUGUGUGUGUGUGUACACCUACUGAAAGGACCUGAGCCCUAGGACCAUGCCUCAGGACUACCUGGUAUGAUGACUCCUUGCUGUCCCCAGUCCACCUGGCUGUGCUGCUGCUCCAGUUUCAACUGUUCUGCCUGCGGCUAUGGAACCCUGACCUGUUCACCGGACGUGCUUGUUGCACCCUCGACAACUACUAUGAUUAUUAUUAUUUGACCAUGCUGGCCAUUUAUGAACAUUUUAACAUUUUAACAUUUUGACCAUGUUCUGUUAUAAUAUCCACCCUGCACAGCCAGAAGAGGACUGGCCACCCCUCAUAGCCUGGUUCCUCUCUAGGUUUCUUCCUAGGUUUUUGGCCUUUCUAGGGAGUUUUUCCUAGGGAGUUUUUCCUAGCCACCGUGCUUCUUUCACAUGCUUUGCUUGCUGUUUGGGGUUUUAGGCUGGGUUUCUGUACAGCACUUUGAGAAUAUCAGCUGAUGUACGAAGGGCUAUAUAAAAAUAAAUUUGAUUUGAUUUGAUUUGGUCUCAAAAAAGACCAGAAGCAACAUCCUCUAAGGCCA
This 1658-nucleotide long non-coding RNA is filed under the name Salmo salar (Atlantic salmon). RNAcentral describes it as "lncRNA (ENSSSAG00000109951.1)". Lineage: Eukaryota; Metazoa; Chordata; Actinopteri; Salmoniformes; Salmonidae. The record is from RNAcentral.